RNAcentral lists this ribosomal RNA (1412 nucleotides) under Gastrophrynoides immaculatus (Tung's narrow-mouthed frog). RNAcentral describes it as "partial 16S ribosomal RNA". It matches the Rfam family "Bacterial large subunit ribosomal RNA", at positions 267 to 2604 of the family's 2925-position model. Lineage: Eukaryota; Metazoa; Chordata; Amphibia; Anura; Microhylidae. The record is from RNAcentral.
GCCCACAAUCUAGCCCCCCCCCCCCUUUUUUUUCCUCACCAUCACACUCCGCCAAUAAAACAUUUUACCAUCAUAGUAAAGGCGAUUAAAAGAACAUAGAGCUUUAUAAUUAGUCCGCAAGGGAAAGAUGAAAUAAAAUGAAAUACCUUUAAGCAUAGCACAGUAAAGAUCAAAUCUUGUACCUUUUGCAUCAUGGUCUUACAAGUCUAACCAACGAAAUGAAUUUAAGUUUGGCUCCCCGAAACUAAGCGAGCUACUUCAAAACAACUUAAUGAGUAAACCCGUCUCUGUUGCAAAAGAGUGGGAAGAUUUUCAAGUAGAGGUGACAAGCCUACCGAGCUUAGAGAUAGCUGGUUAUUCAGAAAAAGGAUAUUAGUCCUACCUAAAAUCUUUUUAAUAACAUUAAUACCCCUAUAGAUUUUAGAGCUAUUCAAAUAAGGUACAGCUUAUUUGAAACAGGAUACAACCUACACAAUAGGGUAAUGAACCAAAACAUAAUAAAGUGGGCCUAAAAGCAGCCACCUUUAAUAACGCGUUAAAGCGAUGUUAUAUAAAUCCUAUAAUUCCACACCCCCCCACAAAACCCCUCACUAAUACUGAAUGACUCCAUAUUAAUAUGGAAGACCUUAUGUUAGAACUAGUAAUAAGAAAAAGAAUUUCUCCGACAUAAUAAGUGUAAACCGGAAUGAACAAAUCACCGGUACUUAUCAUCAAUGAACCCCGAGUAGUAACUUCAACAAGAAAAACCUACUAAUCAACAAUGUUAACCUUACACUAGAAUUAAACUGGAAAGAUAAAAAAAUGAGGAAGGAACUCGGCAAAUUACAACCCCGCCUGUUUACCAAAAACAUCGCCUCUUGAAAACACAUAGGAGGUCCAGCCUGCCCAAUGACUAAGUUAAACGGCCGCGGUACCCUAACCGUGCGAAGGUAGCACAAUCACUUGUUCUCUAAAUAAGGACCGGUAUGAACGGCAUCACGAGGGUUAUACUGUCUCCCUAAUUUUAUCAAUGAAACUAAUCUCUUCGUGAAGAAGCGAAGAUAGACCUAUAAGACGAGAAGACCCCAUGGAGCUUCAAACUAAGUAUCACUUGAACACUAUUAACCAUAAAAACCUAACAAAUCUGACUACUAGUUUUCGGUUGGGGUGACCGCGGAGUAGAAAAAAACCUCCACGACGAAAGGAACAAAACUCCUAAUCUAAGAGCUACAACUCAUAGAAUCAACAUAUUGACCUAAAUUGAUCCAAUAAUUUUGAACAACGAACUAAGUUACCCUGGGGAUAACAGCGCAAUCCAUUUCAAGAGCUCAUAUCGACAAAUGGGUUUACGACCUCGAUGUUGGAUCAGGGUAUCCUAGCGGUGCAACCGCUGCUAAAGGUUCGUUUGUUCAACGAUUAAAACCCUACGUGAU